CAAACCCUAAUACAUCCACCGCUAUGAGUUUCACUCUAGCAGUUACAGGGCAAAAUAUUGUCAGAUUUUGGUUAUGGGUUUUUGGUAUGACAAUCCGCAAGGUUAAACGAGUCGAAUGGUGGUCUUAGUUGCUGAUUUCAAUGGGAUUUUGUGCAGAUAUUUAGGAUUUCAUUCUCCGGUACAUCUCUUCAAAAGAACAGAUCCUUCAUGCAAUCGUUUGACAAGGUUUAGCAGCAGAAAAUAAAUGGAGAACAAAGAAGGACCAAGUAUCCAUAAUAGAUCUAUAAAUUUAUAUGUUUUUAUGAAUUUUAUUAGAUUCAUAUUAUAUUGAAUCCCGUUCAUCUAUUUGUAUUUUUUUUAAUCUUGUAAUGCAUUGAUUCAUAUUGAAUCUCAUCCAGCAAAGAAAAAGGAUGCAAGAAGAUCGUGAUUCUGUAUACUGCAAAAGACUUAAAAGCUGGGAAAACUAAUUGGAAAAAGAAAAGGAUGCAAGAAGAUCGUGAUUCUGUAUACUGUAAAAGACUCAAAAGCUGGGAAAACUAAUUGGAUGAUGCAUCAGUACCAUAUUGAUACUGAGAAGGCUGAAAAGGAAGGCACGUUCGUUGUGUCAAAAGUAUAACCCCACUUCCUUCUCGUCUUCAUCUGUACCAAGAUGAUACUCAUGCAUCACCCAGUUAGUUUUCUCUGUAUAUAAAAGCAUUGAGAGCAUGUGUGCUUCCUGACCAUCGUUGAAGAGGAUGGGUGUUUCCAUUGGAUCAAGAUCAAAUAAGUUGGAUGACAAGAUUUCUGCAAAGAAAGAAGAAGUGGACAGAAAGAAGAAGUGGAGAGAACCUUGGAGUUAUUUCAUCUACAUCUUGAUAAAGGAGGUUAAUUAUAUAUAGAACAAGAAACA
This is a long non-coding RNA of Cryptomeria japonica (Japanese cedar), 889 nucleotides long. RefSeq lists it as uncharacterized. The transcript has 3 exons. Lineage: Eukaryota; Viridiplantae; Streptophyta; Pinopsida; Cupressales; Cupressaceae. The record is from RefSeq and is a predicted model, not a curated record.